This 467-nucleotide ribosomal RNA is filed under the name uncultured bacterium. RNAcentral describes it as "partial 16S ribosomal RNA". It matches the Rfam family "Bacterial small subunit ribosomal RNA", at positions 29 to 507 of the family's 1533-position model. The record is from RNAcentral.
ACGAACGCUGGCGGCGUGCUUAACACCUGCAAGUCGAACGGAAAGGCCCUGCUUUUGUGGGGUGCUCGAGUGGCGAACGGGUGAGUAACACGUGAGUAACCUGCCCUUGACUUUGGGAUAACUUCAGGAAACUGGGGCUAAUACCGGAUAGGACCUCCUGCUGCAUGGUGGGGGUUGGAAAGUUUCGGCGGUUGGGGAUGGACUCGCGGCUUAUCAGCUUGUUGGUGGGGUAGUGGCUUACCAAGGCUUUGACGGGUAGCCGGCCUGAGAGGGUGACCGGCCACAUUGGGACUGAGAUACGGCCCAGACUCCUACGGGAGGCAGCAGUGGGGAAUAUUGCACAAUGGGCGGAAGCCUGAUGCAGCAACGCCGCGUGCGGGAUGACGGCCUUCGGGUUGUAAACCGCUUUCGCCUGUGACGAAGCGUGAGUGACGGUAAUGGGUAAAGAAGCACCGGCUAACUACGUG